Molecule: ribosomal RNA, 798 nt
Filed under: Herpomyces periplanetae
Lineage: Eukaryota; Fungi; Ascomycota; Laboulbeniomycetes; Herpomycetales; Herpomycetaceae
Description: eukaryotic LSU rRNA
Rfam family: Eukaryotic large subunit ribosomal RNA (bases 249-798)
Source: RNAcentral
AAUAUUAGUAUCCGUUGCUUGCGUACGCUGGCCGGAUGUCUUGGAUGAACAUUGCUGUGUCUGGCUGCCAUGUGGUGGUGCUGAUCGGCACAUCCGAAAGUUGUUUACGGCGAUGUGAAGUGCUUCGGUGGUAGCAAUGUUGAAGACUUGUGUUUUCGCUUUCAGCCUUGAAGUAUGGAGCAUAUGCGUUUACGUGUUGAAGGUCGGGUUGGCUGCGUAGAGCGGUUCAGCGUUGACCGUGAAGCUUGUGACCUCGAAUCAGGUGGGAGUACCCGCUGAACUUAAGCAUAUCAAUAAAGCGGAGGAAAAUAAACCAACUGGGAUUGCCUUAGUAACUGCGAGUGAAGCGGCAAAAGCUCAAAUUUGAAAUCUGGCACAAGCCCGAGUUGUAAUUUGCAGAGGAUGCUUCGACGUCGGACGCCGGCUUAAGUUUUCUGGAACGAAGCGUCAUAGAGGGUGAGAACCCCGUGAAUGGUUGGCCGUUUUGACGUCAUAUGUAGCUCCUUCAACGAGUCGAGUUGUUUGGGAAUGCAGCUCUAAGUGGGAGGUAAAUUUCUUCUAAGGCUAAAUAUAGGCCAGAGACCGAUAGCGAACAAGUAGAGUGAUCGAAAGAUGAAAAGCACUUUGAAAAGAGGGUUAAAAAGUACGUGAAAUUGUUGAAAGGGAAGCGCUUGCGGUCAGACUUGCUCGUGAUUGCUCAAUUCAUCGUCGUGGUGAGUGUAAUCAAUCUUGAGCAGGCCAACAUCAGUUUGGGCGGUGAGAUAAUGGCUCGGAAAAUGUAGCUUUCUCUCGGGAAAG